This 253-nucleotide ribosomal RNA is filed under the name uncultured bacterium. RNAcentral's name for it is "partial 16S ribosomal RNA". It matches the Rfam family "Bacterial small subunit ribosomal RNA", at positions 524 to 776 of the family's 1533-position model. The record is from RNAcentral.
UACGAAGGGGGCUAGCGUUGCUCGGAAUCACUGGGCGUAAAGGGCGCGUAGGCGGCCAUUCAAGUCGGGGGUGAAAGCCUGUGGCUCAACCACAGAAUUGCCUUCGAUACUGUUUGGCUUGAGACCGGAAGAGGUUAGUGGAACUGCGAGUGUAGAGGUGAAAUUCGUAGAUAUUCGCAAGAACACCAGUGGCGAAGGCGGCUAACUGGUCCGGCUCUGACGCUGAGGCGCGAAAGCGUGGGGAGCAAACAGG